Molecule: ribosomal RNA, 229 nt
Filed under: uncultured bacterium
Lineage: Bacteria
Description: partial 16S ribosomal RNA
Rfam family: Bacterial small subunit ribosomal RNA
Source: RNAcentral
UGCGCAGGUGGGCUUGUAAGUCAGUGGUGCAAUACUGCCGCUUAACGGUAGAACUGCCAUUGAUACUGCAAGUCUUGAAUAUGGUUGAGGUAGGCGGAAUGUGUCGUGUAGCGGUGAAAUGCAUAGAUAUGACACAGAACGCCGAUUGCGAAGGCAGCUUACUAAGCCAUUAUUGACGCUGAGGCACGAAAGCGUGGGGAGCGAACAGGAUUAGAUACCCUGGUAGUCC